Molecule: ribosomal RNA, 1204 nt
Filed under: uncultured bacterium
Lineage: Bacteria
Description: bacterial SSU rRNA
Rfam family: Bacterial small subunit ribosomal RNA
Source: RNAcentral
GGGAGCGGGGGAUAAYAUUUGGAAACAGAUGCURAUACCGAAUAACAAUUUGAAUCGCAUGAUUCAAAAUUAAAAGAUGGCUUCGGCUAUCACUUUGGGAUGGACCUGCGGCGCAUUAGCUUGUUGGUAGGGUAACGGCCUACCGAGGCUGUGAUGCGUAGCCKAGUUGAGAGACUGAUCGGCCACAAUGGAACUGAGACACGGUCCAUACUCCUACGGGAGGCAGCAGUAGGGAAUCUUCCACAAUGGGCGCAAGCCUGAUGGAGCAACACCGCGUGAGUGAAGAAGGGUUUCGGCUCGUAAAGCUCUGUCGUUAGAGAAGAACGUGCGUGAGAGUAACUGUUCACGCAGUGACGGUAUCUAACCAGAAAGUCACGGCUAACUACGUGCCAGCAGCCGCGGUAAUACGUAGGUGGCAAGCGUUAUCCGGAUUUAUUGGGCGUAAAGCGAGCGCAGGCGGUUUGAUAAGUCUGAUGUGAAAGCCUUUGGCUUAACCAAAGAAGUGCAUCGGAAACUGUCAGACUUGAGUGCAGAAGAGGACAGUGGAACUCCAUGUGUAGCGGUGGAAUGCGUAGAUAUAUGGAAGAACACCAGUGGCGAAGGCGGCUGUCUGGUCUGCAACUGACGCUGAGGCUCGAAAGCAUGGGUAGCGAACAGGAUUAGAUACCCUGGUAGUCCAUGCCGUAAACGAUGAGUGCUAGGUGUUGGAGGGUUUCCGCCCUUCAGUGCCGCAGCUAACGCAUUAAGCACUCCGCCUGGGGAGUACGACCGCAAGGUUGAAACUCAAAGGAAUUGACGGGGGCCCGCACAAGCGGUGGAGCAUGUGGUUUAAUUCGAAGCUACGCGAAGAACCUUACCAGGUCUUGACAUCUUGCGCCAACCCUAGAGAUAGGGCGUUUCCUUCGGGAACGCAAUGACAGGUGGUGCAUGGUCGUCGUCAGCUCGUGUCGUGAGAUGUUGGGUUAAGUCCCGCAACGAGCGCAACCCUUGUUACUAGUUGCCAGCAUUCAGUUGGGCACUCUAGUGAGACUGCCGGUGACAAACCGGAGGAAGGUGGGGACGACGUCAGAUCAUCAUGCCCCUUAUGACCUGGGCUACACACGUGCUACAAUGGACGGUACAACGAGUCGCGAACUCGCGAGGGCAAGCUAAUCUCUUAAAACCGUUCUCAGUUCGGACUGCAGGCUGCAAUUGGCGWUCACAA